UCCCAAGUAGUAUAGUGGUUCACAUUCCACGUUGUGACCGUGGAGACACAGGUUCAAUUCCUGGCUUCAGCA
This 72-nucleotide transfer RNA is filed under the name Angiostrongylus costaricensis. It matches the Rfam family "tRNA". Rfam says of the family: Transfer RNA (tRNA) molecules are approximately 80 nucleotides in length. Lineage: Eukaryota; Metazoa; Nematoda; Chromadorea; Rhabditida; Metastrongylidae. The record is from Rfam by way of RNAcentral.